CAGAGCCCCCCCCGUCCUUCCCCGCCGCCCCCCGGUUCCACCGGCACCGAGCGGCCGCCGGGCCCGGCUCCGAGCAGCGCCCUGCUCAGGCCUGAAGGAGAUUUUUCUUUUUAUUCACGUUCGUGCACAUGAAACCUUUUGUCUCGGCCCGCGGAUGGCCGGCCUUGCCGCAGACAGCCGCCAGCGGUUCAGGGUCAGCGGCAAUUUCCAGCCCCGGGGGGACACGGGCAGAAGGUGACCGGGCCGGUCCCCUCCCGGACACUUGUCGCCGGAGGGAGGCGGCGGAGGUGCGGGGCGCCAGGGGAGUGGACAGGGAGUGGACAGGGAGUGGACAGGACCUCUUGUCCCCCGGCUGUGCCCUCCCAGCCCCGCCGCAGCCCCCGCCCGCCCCGCGCCGCCGCCGAGCGAGAGCCGGCUAUUUUUCUCAGGAUGUGACUUCCAAGUGGCAUAAUCUGUGGGAGUGUGAAUCUGUUCUCGUUAUGUUUGUCCCCUUCGAUUGUUCCGAGGAGACUACCUCCCUAAUGACUUCAUCUCCAAAAGUUGACUGACACUCUAGCGAACUGCCAACACCUGUUUCCCAGCACCCAGACUCCAGAACCCACCAGACCUCGUAAAUUUAGCUUCUCCCUUCUCCCCCCACCCUCCCUUAAUAGAUGACGUGAAUAUCUGAAGGGAAGGGGGGAGGGGGAGAUGGAAGUAGGUCACAUUUGAAACUUUUUGAUUUUUCAUCUCUUCUGAGCGAAACGCGGAGGUGAAAGGGCCGGCCGGCUCCUGCCGCUGCCCGUCCCGCCGGGUGCCCGGGGCUGCUGGGCUCGGGCUCCAGGGUGGGGUUUGGGACAAAGCUCCUGCCUGCCCGGCAGAUCCCAGGAGCUGGAACCGUGACCCGAACCCUUUCCCCGCCUCUGCCUUUCCCCGUGGAUGCUGCGGGUCUCUUUGGUCCCGCCUGGCCCCGCGGGUCCCUCCCCAGCGCCUCGCUGCAGGGGUGACACCGAGGGGACAGGGGUGGCACAGGGCAAAUUGUCACUCCGAGGAGAGGGACAGAGCGGAGCGGCUGUCCCUGGGGGGAGGAGGAGUAGGACAGCGGCCAGCAUCGCCCCGAAGCCUGCGGGAAGGAUGGAGGUGGCCGGGACACGGGAGGUUCCCGAGCUGGGUGGCACUGCCCGGCUCCUCGGGACGCCCGUCCUUCCCUGCACGGGUUUUAGAGGUUCAUUCUCAAGAGAAAAAAAAAUUAAAAAUUAAAAAAUAUAAAAAAUAAAGAAGGGAAGAAAUUCA
RNAcentral lists this long non-coding RNA (1272 nucleotides) under Taeniopygia guttata (zebra finch). RNAcentral's name for it is "lncRNA (ENSTGUG00000027906.1)". The record is from RNAcentral. Lineage: Eukaryota; Metazoa; Chordata; Aves; Passeriformes; Estrildidae.